CGGAAGAUGGUCAAGGUA
Molecule: small nuclear RNA, 18 nt
Filed under: Arabidopsis thaliana (thale cress)
Lineage: Eukaryota; Viridiplantae; Streptophyta; Magnoliopsida; Brassicales; Brassicaceae
Description: snRNA_02517
Source: RNAcentral